This 417-nucleotide unclassified non-coding RNA is filed under the name uncultured fungus. RNAcentral describes it as "partial contains 5.8S ribosomal RNA, internal transcribed spacer 2, and large subunit ribosomal RNA". Lineage: Eukaryota; Fungi. The record is from RNAcentral.
AACGCAUAUUGCGCCCCUGGGUAUUCCCGAGGGCACGCCUGUUUGAGAACCAUGACGUAUCUCAUCACCCAACCACGUUUAUUCUUUUGCAAGAAAGAAAAGCUGGUUGCGAGAUGGACCUGGGCCUUCACGUCCGCGAGCGCCUUUCUUAAAAAGAGUCUCGUUCGGCCGCGUGGCCUCAAAUGCGACAUGUCGAGGAUGACCGUUCGAAAAGCUCCUUGAAGGUUAAAAACGUGAUAAAUCCCUCAGUGGAAAGAAGCGUUGAAACCGUGGGCUUCUUCUAUCGGAAGUCUCCGACCGCUGAAAAGCAAACGUAAAAGUUUAAACGUGCCAGGCGAUCACUCCGAAACUAAUCGGAGAGGUUGAACACCUGAACAACUUGGUCUCAAAUCAGACGAGAGGACCCGCUGAACUUAA